UACGGAGGGGGCAAGCGUUGUUCGGAAUCAUUGGGCGUAAAGGGCGCGUAGGCGGCUGAUCAAGUCGGGUGUGAAAUCCCUCGGCUCAACCGAGGAACUGCAUUCGAUACUGGUCGGCUAGAGUCCGGGAGGGGAUGGUGGAAUUCCGAGUGUAGAGGUGAAAUUCGUAGAUAUUCGGAGGAACACCAGAAGCGAAGGCGGCCAACUGGCCCGAUACUGACGCUGAGGCGCGAAAGCGUGGGGAGCAAACAGG
RNAcentral lists this ribosomal RNA (253 nucleotides) under uncultured bacterium. Its description in RNAcentral is "partial 16S ribosomal RNA". It matches the Rfam family "Bacterial small subunit ribosomal RNA", at positions 524 to 776 of the family's 1533-position model. The record is from RNAcentral.